CGGGACGGGUGAGUAACACGUGGAUAACCUACCUAUAAGACUGGGAUAACUUAGGGAAACCGGAGCUAAUACCGGAUAGUAUAUUGAACCGCAUGGUUCAAUAGUGAAAGACGGUUUUGCUGUCACUUAUAGAUGGAUCCGCGCCGCAUUAGCUAGUUGGUAAGGUAACGGCUUACCAAGGCAACGAUGCGUAGCCGACCUGAGAGGGUGAUCGGCCACACUGGAACUGAGACACGGUCCAG
RNAcentral lists this ribosomal RNA (242 nucleotides) under uncultured Staphylococcus sp. Its description in RNAcentral is "partial 16S ribosomal RNA". It matches the Rfam family "Bacterial small subunit ribosomal RNA", at positions 100 to 334 of the family's 1533-position model. Lineage: Bacteria; Bacillati; Bacillota; Bacilli; Caryophanales; Staphylococcaceae. The record is from RNAcentral.